RNAcentral lists this ribosomal RNA (443 nucleotides) under uncultured bacterium. Its description in RNAcentral is "partial 16S ribosomal RNA". It matches the Rfam family "Bacterial small subunit ribosomal RNA", at positions 338 to 795 of the family's 1533-position model. The record is from RNAcentral.
CCUACGGGAGGCAGCAGUGGGGAAUCUUGGGCAAUGGGCGCAAGCCUGACCCAGCAACGCCGCGUGAAGGAAGGAAGCUUUCGGGUUGUAAACUUCUUUUCUCAGGGACGAAGAAAGUGACGGUACCUGAGGAAUAAGCCACGGCUAACUACGUGCCAGCAGCCGCGGUAAUACGUAGGUGGCAAGCGUUAUUCGGAUGUACUGGGUGUAAAGGGCGUGUAGGCGGGACUGCAAGUCAGAUGUGAAAACCACGGGCUCAACCUGUGGACUGCAUUUGAAACUGGAGUUCUUGAGUACUGGAGAGGCAGACGGAAUUCCUAGUGUAGCGGUGAAAUGCGUAGAUAUUAGGAGGAACACCAGUGGCGAAGGCGGUCUGCUGGACAGCAACUGACGCUGAGGCGCGAAAGCGUGGGGAGCAAACAGGAUUAGAUACCCCUGUAGUC